GGGGGUUUAGUAUAAUGGCAAUGCAGCAGUCUCCAAAACUGAGAAUAAGGGUUCGAUUCCUUUAACCCCCGCCA
This 74-nucleotide transfer RNA is filed under the name Mycoplasma sp. Pen4. RNAcentral describes it as "tRNA-Trp". It matches the Rfam family "tRNA". From Rfam's summary of the family: Transfer RNA (tRNA) molecules are approximately 80 nucleotides in length. Their secondary structure includes four short double-helical elements and three loops (D, anti-codon, and T loops). The record is from RNAcentral. Lineage: Bacteria; Bacillati; Mycoplasmatota; Mollicutes; Mycoplasmatales; Mycoplasmataceae.